UUUAAUUAAGUUUUUUGGGCGAUGUUGAGCCACUGUCGUUGCGGAUGCGGAUGGCGUUUCAAUGUUUGGCCCACUGUUAUUGUUGCUGCCAGUGAGAGACAACACAACCAGCCAUAAAUUGCAAAGUACCGUUUUGACCGCGGCACUCAGUUAGCAUACUAAAGUAUGAGAGCGAGAGAGAGAGAGGCAAAAUAAACAAGAAUCACCCGUUGUGAGAGCGUCAAACUAAAAGAGAGCCAAAGCUAACGCAUCACAGUGGGAGGGAGAGCGUGAGCGCCCCGUGAUGACAGCGGGCUUCUUAUGUGUGCGUAUGUAUGUGUGUGUGUGUGUGACUGUAAUGAGUUGUGUGAGUCAUGCUGAGAGCGAUGUUAAUGUCGCUGCUGAUGAAGGUAAAAAUCAACAAAAAUUAUAAUAAUAAUAAUAAUGGAAAGUAUUUAAAAA
Drosophila navojoa is the source of this 441-nucleotide long non-coding RNA. The record is from RefSeq and is a predicted model, not a curated record. Lineage: Eukaryota; Metazoa; Arthropoda; Insecta; Diptera; Drosophilidae.